UACGAAGGGGGCAAGCGUUGCUCGGAAUGACUGGGCGUAAAGGGCGCGUAGGCGGUUGUUACAGUCAGAUGUGAAAUUCCCGGGCUUAACCUGGGGGCUGCAUUUGAUACGUGAUGACUAGAGUGUGAGAGAGGGUUGUGGAAUUCCCAGUGUAGAGGUGAAAUUCGUAGAUAUUGGGAAGAACACCGGUGGCGAAGGCGGCAACCUGGCUCAUGACUGACGCUGAGGCGCGAAAGCGUGGGGAGCAAACAGG
RNAcentral lists this ribosomal RNA (253 nucleotides) under uncultured bacterium. Its description in RNAcentral is "partial 16S ribosomal RNA". It matches the Rfam family "Bacterial small subunit ribosomal RNA", at positions 524 to 776 of the family's 1533-position model. The record is from RNAcentral.